CAAUAGCGUAUAUUAAAGUUGUUGCGGUUAAAACGCUCGUAGUUGGGUUUCUGUCUAAGCCGCGCAGUCCGUCCUCUGGAUGUGUAUUUGUGCUGGUUUGGGCAUCUCCUGGAAGAGCACGCUGCCCUUGAUUGGAUGGUGUGAAUUCUCCAGGCUUUUACUUUGAGGAAAUUAGAGUGUUCACGGCAGGCUUGCGCCUUGAAUAUGCUAGCAUGGAAUAAUAAAAUAGGGCCACGGUCUAUUUUGUUGGUUUCUAGUACCGAGGUAAUGAUUAAUAGGGACAGUUGGGGGCAUUCGUAUUUAACUGUCAGAGGUGAAAUUCUUGGAUUUGUUAAAGACGAACUACUGCGAAAGCAUUUGCCAAAGAUGUUUUCAUUGAUCAAGAACGAAAGUUAGGGGAUCGAAGACGAUUAGAUACCA
RNAcentral lists this ribosomal RNA (420 nucleotides) under uncultured eukaryote. RNAcentral's name for it is "bacterial SSU rRNA". It matches the Rfam family "Eukaryotic small subunit ribosomal RNA", at positions 592 to 1017 of the family's 1831-position model. The record is from RNAcentral.